This 252-nucleotide ribosomal RNA is filed under the name uncultured bacterium. Its description in RNAcentral is "partial 16S ribosomal RNA". It matches the Rfam family "Bacterial small subunit ribosomal RNA", at positions 524 to 776 of the family's 1533-position model. The record is from RNAcentral.
UACGUAGGGGGCUAGCGUUGUCCGGAAUCAUUGGGCGUAAAGAGCGUGUAGGCGGCCCGGUAAGUCCGCUGUGAAAGUCGGGGCUCAACCCUCGAAUGCCGGUGGAUACUGUCGGGCUAGAGUGCGGAAGAGGCGAGUGGAAUUCCUGGUGUAGCGGUGAAAUGCGCAGAUAUCAGGAGGAACACCGAUUGCGAAGGCAGCUCGCUGGGACGUAACUGACGCUGAGACGCGAAAGCGUGGGGAGCAAACAGG